GAUGAACGCUAGCGGCAGGCUUAAUACAUGCAAGUCGAGGGGCAGCAUGGUGGUAGCAAUACCACUGAUGGCGACCGGCAAACGGGUGCGGAACACGUACGCAACUUACCCUUAACUGGGGGAUAGCCCGGGGAAACCCGGAUUAAUACCUCGUAACAUAUUGUGGUGGCAUCACCAUAUUAUUAUAGCUUUAUUGUGGUUAAGGAUGGGCGUGCGGCUGAUUAGGUAGUUGGCAGGGUAACGGCCUACCAAGCCUGCGAUCAGUAACUGGUGUGAGAGCACGACCAGUCACACGGGCACUGAGACACGGGCCCGACUCCUACGGGAGGCAGCAGUAAGGAAUAUUGGUCAAUGGACGCAAGUCUGAACCAGCCAUGCCGCGUGGAGGAUGAAGGCCCUCUGGGUUGUAAACUUCUUUUAUCUGGGACGAAACCUACCUUUUUCUAAGGGU
Molecule: ribosomal RNA, 451 nt
Filed under: uncultured bacterium
Lineage: Bacteria
Description: bacterial SSU rRNA
Rfam family: Bacterial small subunit ribosomal RNA
Source: RNAcentral